This 176-nucleotide small nucleolar RNA is filed under the name Eremothecium gossypii ATCC 10895. Its description in RNAcentral is "Ashbya gossypii ATCC 10895 Small nucleolar RNA snR35". It matches the Rfam family "Small nucleolar RNA snR35". Lineage: Eukaryota; Fungi; Ascomycota; Saccharomycetes; Saccharomycetales; Saccharomycetaceae. The record is from Rfam by way of RNAcentral.
AACCAAUAAAAAUCGUGCGGAUUUUUGCAUCCAGGACUCUAAAACCGUGUUGCUAGGGCCGCGCGCUACGCGGCCACAGCGUCAAGUCCAUCGGAGAGAUCAGUUGGUUCAUCUCAACGCCCUUUCUUCCUGCCGGGCGCUCACUGGCAGGGGGAGGGCUGGUAGAACAGACAUUC